Molecule: ribosomal RNA, 461 nt
Filed under: uncultured bacterium
Lineage: Bacteria
Description: bacterial SSU rRNA
Rfam family: Bacterial small subunit ribosomal RNA
Source: RNAcentral
GAUGAACGCUGGCGGCGUGCCUAAUACAUGCAAGUCGAACGCAUUGUGGUUGAAAUGAUAUGAAGAACUUGUUCAGAUUUGAUUUUCAACAUUGCAAUGAGUGGCGAACGGGUGAGUAACACGUGGGAAACCUACCUCUUAGCAGGGGAUAACAUUUGGAAACAAAUGCUAAUACCGUAUAAUAAUUAAAACCGCAUGGUUUUAGUUUAAAAGAUGGUCUUGCUAUCACUAAGAGAUGGUCCCGCGGUGUAUUAGUUAGUUGGUGAGGUAAUGGCUCACCAAGACAAUGAUACGUAGCCGAGUUGAGAGACUGACCGGCCACAAUGGGACUGAGACACGGCCCAUACUCCUACGGGAGGCAGCAGUAGGGAAUCUUCCACAAUGGACGAAAGUCUGAUGGAGCAACGCCGCGUGUGUGAUGAAGGGUUUCGGCUCGUAAAACACUGUUGUAAGAGAAGAAU